This 253-nucleotide ribosomal RNA is filed under the name uncultured bacterium. RNAcentral's name for it is "partial 16S ribosomal RNA". It matches the Rfam family "Bacterial small subunit ribosomal RNA", at positions 524 to 776 of the family's 1533-position model. The record is from RNAcentral.
UACAGAGGGUGCGAGCGUUGUCCGGAAUCACUGGGCGUAAAGGGCGCGUAGGCGGUCCCCUAAGUGUGUGGUGAAAGCUCGGGGCUCAACCCCGAGUCGGCCGUGCAAACUGGGGGACUCGAGCAUGUCAGAGGCAGGCGGAAUUCCGGGUGUAGCGGUGGAAUGCGGAGAGAUCCGGAAGAACACCGGUGGCGAAGGCGGCCUGAUGGGACAUGGCUGACGCUGAGGCGCGACAGCGUGGGGAGCAAACAGG